UCCGAAUUGGUGUAGGGGUUAACAUUUGACGCUCUCAAUCCCUUCAUAAGGGAAAAGGCGCCGUCAGGCCCGGGGUUCGAUUCCCCGAUUCGGAG
Molecule: non-coding RNA, 95 nt
Organism: Xylariaceae sp. AK1471
Lineage: Eukaryota; Fungi; Ascomycota; Sordariomycetes; Xylariales; Xylariaceae
Source: the annotation of a GenBank genome assembly